ACGCUUGAAUCGUCGCAGCCAAAGCCCUAUUUCUGUCAUGUCUCUUCGGGGACUAUGGCGAUAAACGCGCUCGUAAUAAGCGGCUCGGACCCGGGGGCGGUACCCGGCGGCUCCACCAAAAAUCCCGCGUUGGGGGAUCAUGGGGCCGAAAUAGGAUCGACGGACGUCUAAAGGGGUUUGCUUUCGCUCGGUGAGGUACCACCGUUACCGGUCCGAUAAGCAUAAUUGCCAACGACAAUCGUGCUCCGGUGGCAGUCGCUGCGUAAUGCAGUGACCAAAACCGAAAUCUAAGCCCAGUCGCCUAGCAGCGGUCUGGCGGGGUUCGCAGGCACCUGGCAACAGAAGCCUGCACU
This 353-nucleotide transfer-messenger RNA is filed under the name Tropicimonas sediminicola. Its description in RNAcentral is "Tropicimonas sp. M97 Alphaproteobacteria transfer-messenger RNA". It matches the Rfam family "Alphaproteobacteria transfer-messenger RNA". From Rfam's summary of the family: Bacterial tmRNA, also known as 10Sa RNA or SsrA, is named for its dual tRNA and mRNA-like properties. Its role is to liberate the mRNA from a stalled ribosome. To accomplish this part of the tmRNA is used as a reading frame that ends in a translation stop signal. Lineage: Bacteria; Pseudomonadati; Pseudomonadota; Alphaproteobacteria; Rhodobacterales; Roseobacteraceae. The record is from Rfam by way of RNAcentral.